AUGAUUUCUUUAUGGUUUUGGAUAUUGAAAAUAAUUCUGACAACACAAGGACAUCCUAGUAUCCCUGUUGGACCCAGAGAAAACAUUUGGGUGACAUUUGCCAACCAAACAGGUCAAUUGGAUUUCUGUCUAAGUUUAGCCUCAGCGUCAGAUCCUUUUCAAACAUGUCUUAUUGGCAUUCCUUACCUUGAUACAAAUGAUUUUACAGGAUGGGUUAGCUCUAAUCAUAACAAAACCAAGGUGGAAUCAGUUUGCAAUGUAACAGAAGAAUGCACAAACGGCACCAAAGGUAUGACAUCUCUUCUGUUAAUAACUAGUCUAAACAAGACCAUGACAGAUAGCCCCAGUGAGUUACAAUUAUUUGGAGCUGUGUUUGGAAAUGACUCUUGCUUUAGACUCAAUAUGAAAAAGGAAAAGAUCUUUCUACGAUGGCAACAAACAAUUGGAAAUGUAUCCACUACAAACGUAACAGCACAGAACCCUCCAUACGAUAAUGUAACCUGGUGCCAAGGUUAUGCCAAAAAUGUGUCAAUCAGUGUGACAAAGCCAAAAUACUUACCACCUGGUUACUUCUUAAUUUGUGGCAAUAGAGCAUGGUCUGGCAUUCCUAAAUACCCCAUUGGUGGACCAUGUUACUUGGGAAAAUUGACUAUGUUUACACCCACUAUGAGACAAAUAACACAGUUGAAAAGGAGAAAUAUUCGGAACAAACGAGACACUGAAUUUGAUAAAUACUGUAAAUCAGUAAAGAACCAACCCAUUAACUUUUGGUCACCUACAGCAAACUUCUUUGCAUCUAUAUUUGCCCCCAUUGGAGCAAAAAAGAGUCUAGUUCUUGUCCAAAGAACAGCUUGUUGGGCAAGGGAUCAAAUGAAUAGGACCUCAAAAAUUCUAGGGGAAUUGGCUCAUGACUUUGAUGAAAUAAGACAUGCUGUUUUACAGAACAGAGCAGCUAUAGAUUUUCUAUUGCUGGCUCAGGGGCAUGGAUGUGAAGAAUUUGAAGGUAUGUGUUGUAUGAAUCUUUCUGAUCACUCUCAAUCCAUCUACCAAAACCUAAAAGAGAUGCAAGGUCAUUUGAAUGACUUUAAAAUCCAAAAAGAUCCUAUCAGAGAAUGGUUAGCAAAAUUAGGCUUAGGACCAUGGUUUGCUGAGAUCACUAAACAAGCUAUUUCACUUUUGCUGAUAUUGUUAGCUGCUUUAUGCAUCGUUCCUUGCGUUUUUAAGUGUAUACAGAACAUGUUAAAGAAGGCAGUGAAUGAUGUAUUUUUAACAAUGUCUAAAGGAAACGGGGGAAGUGUGGAAAGUAUUGCUGAAACAUGGCUAAUAGAAAGAGGACAUGAGAGAGAUGCUAUAGCUCUGGUCCCACGGUAA
RNAcentral lists this long non-coding RNA (1371 nucleotides) under Manacus vitellinus (golden-collared manakin). RNAcentral's name for it is "lncRNA (ENSMVIG00005013376.1)". The record is from RNAcentral. Lineage: Eukaryota; Metazoa; Chordata; Aves; Passeriformes; Pipridae.